AACCGUUCGGGGGUAAACGGACAGAGCCCGUGAAUCCGGGUGCGCGGAAUUCAGGACCGACGCGCGAAGCCGUCGAUUCGAUAUUUCCGCCGCCGACCCNUAGCGGGUGCGGACGUCGCGACCCGUUUGUCGUCGGUCUGGCGAGUCGCGUUUCAAGUUCGCCCGCUCCGUCUCUCGGGGCGGCGGUGAUGGCGUGUCUCGGGCGNNNNGCAGCAGACGGUAGCUGUAGCGCGGGUAAUCGACGCAGCCGCGCGUUUUCCGCGGAGCGCGUUCGGGCGCUGUCGUCGACGCCGGUCAGCGACGAAUCUUCGGGCCUCUUUCCGACCCGUCUUGAAACACGGACCAAGGAGUCUAACGUGCGCGCGAGUCGCGGGGUAUUCGAGUCGUAACGAGGCUCGUAAUCAAACGAAACCCGUGUACGUACGUUGUGCGAAGGCGUAAUGAAAGUGAGGUGNNNNGCUUCGCGNNNCCACCGGGAAGAUGGUGCGCCGAGUACACUUUUCUCGGUCACANGGUACCGAGACCGGCCACCCGCAUUCCCAGGGCGUCCCGCCUGUCCGACGGCGGUGCGGACGAUUUCCGGCCGUCCUCGAACUGGGGCGCACCUUUAGCGUGCACGUUGGUACCCGAAAGAUGGUGAACUAUGCCCGGCCAGGAUGAAGUCAGGGGAAACCCUGAUGGAGGUCCGCAGCGAUUCUGACGUGCAAAUCGAUCGUCUGAGCUGGGUAUAGGGGCGAAAGACUAAUCGAACCAUCUA
This 757-nucleotide ribosomal RNA is filed under the name Metaceronema japonica. RNAcentral describes it as "partial large subunit ribosomal RNA". It matches the Rfam family "Eukaryotic large subunit ribosomal RNA", at positions 403 to 946 of the family's 3401-position model. The record is from RNAcentral. Lineage: Eukaryota; Metazoa; Arthropoda; Insecta; Hemiptera; Coccidae.